GGUUAAGUUAGAAAGGGCGCACGGUGAAUGCCUUGGCACUAGGAGCCGAUGAAGGACGGGACUAACACCGAUAUGCUUCGGGGAGCUGUAAGUGAGCUUUGAUCCGGAGAUUUCCGAAUGGGGAAACCCACUGUUCGUAAUGGAACAGUAUCUUUAUCUGAAUACAUAGGAUAUUGAAGGCAGACCCGGGGAACUGAAACAUCUAAGUACCCGGAGGAAGAGAAAGCAAAUGCGAUUUCCUGAGUAGCGGCGAGCGAAACGGAAUUAGCCCAAACCAAGAGGCUUGCCUCUUGGGGUUGUAGGACACUCUAUACGGAGUUACAAAGGAACGAAGUAAAUGAAGCGACCUGGAAAGGUCCGUCGAAGAAGGUAACAACCCUGUAGUUGAAACUUCGUUCCCUCUUGAGUGGAUCCUGAGUACGGCGGAACACGUGAAAUUCCGUCGGAAGCUGGGAGGACCAUCUCCCAAGGCUAAAUACUACCUAGUGACCGAUAGUGAACCAGUACCGUGAGGGAAAGGUGAAAAGCACCCCGGAAGGGGAGUGAAAGAGAUCCUGAAACCGUGUGCCUACAAGUAGUCAGAGCCCGUUAACGGGUGAUGGCGUGCCUUUUGUAGAAUGAACCGGCGAGUUACGAUCCCAUGCAAGGUUAAGCUGAUAAGGCGGAGCCGUAGCGAAAGCGAGUCUGAAUAGGGCGUUUAGUAUGUGGUUGUAGACCCGAAACCAGGUGAUCUACCCAUGUCCAGGGUGAAGUUCAGGUAACACUGAAUGGAGGCCCGAACCCACGCACGUUGAAAAGUGCGGGGAUGAGGUGUGGGUAGCGGAGAAAUUCCAAUCGAACCUGGAGAUAGCUGGUUCUCUCCGAAAUAGCUUUAGGGCUAGCCUCAUGUUGUGAGAGUCUUGGAGGUAGAGCACUGAUUGGACUAGGGGCCCCCAACGGGUUACCGAAUUCAGUCAAACUCCGAAUGCCAAAGACUUAUCCAUGGGAGUCAGACUGCGAGUGAUAAGAUCCGUAGUCAAAAGGGAAACAGCCCAGACCACCAGCUAAGGUCCCCAAGUAUACGUUAAGUGGAAAAGGAUGUGGAGUUGCUUAGACAACCAGGAUGUUGGCUUAGAAGCAGCCACCAUUUAAAGAGUGCGUAAUAGCUCACUGGUCGAGUGACUCUGCGCCGAAAAUGUACCGGGGCUAAACGUAUCACCGAAGCUGUGGAUUGACAUCUUUGAUGUCAGUGGUAGGAGAGCGUUCUAAGUGCUGUGAAGUCAGACCGUAAGGACUGGUGGAGCGCUUAGAAGUGAGAAUGCCGGUAUGAGUAGCGAAAGACAAGUGAGAAUCUUGUCCACCGAAUGCCUAAGGUUUCCUGAGGAAGGCUCGUCCGCUCAGGGUUAGUCGGGACCUAAGCCGAGGCUGAAAAGCGUAGGCGAUGGCCAACAGGUUGAUAUUCCUGUACCACCUCCCCGCCGUUUGAGUAAUGGGGGACGCAGUAGGAUAGGGUAAGCGCGCUGCUGGAUAUGCGCGUUCAAGCAGUUAGGCUGAUGAGUAGGCAAAUCCGCUCAUCAUAAAGGCUGAGCUGUGAUGACGAGGGAAUUAUAGUACCGAAGUUCCUGAUUCCACACUGCCAAGAAAAGCCUCUAGCGAGGCGGGAGGUGCCCGUACCGCAAACCGACACAGGUAGGCGAGGAGAGAAUCCUAAGGUGAUCGAGAGAACUCUCGUUAAGGAACUCGGCAAAAUGACCCCGUAACUUCGGGAGAAGGGGUGCUCUGGUAGGGUGUAUAGCCCGAGAGAGCCGCAGUGAAUAGGCCCAGGCGACUGUUUAGCAAAAACACAGGUCUCUGCGAAGCCGCAAGGCGAAGUAUAGGGGCUGACGCCUGCCCGGUGCUGGAAGGUUAAGAGGAGGGUUAUCCUUUGGGAGAAGCUCUGAAUCGAAGCCCCAGUAAACGGCGGCCGUAACUAUAACGGUCCUAAGGUAGCGAAAUUCCUUGUCGGGUAAGUUCCGACCCGCACGAAAGGCGUAACGAUCUGGGCACUGUCUCAACGAGAGACUCGGUGAAAUUAUAGUACCUGUGAAGAUGCAGGUUACCCGCGACAGGACGGAAAGACCCCGUGGAGCUUUACUGUAGCCUGAUAUUGAAUUUUGGUACAGCUUGUACAGGAUAGGUAGGAGCCUGAGAAGCCGGAGCGCUAGCUUCGGUGGAGGCGUCGGUGGGAUACUACCCUGGCUGUAUUGAAAUUCUAACCCGCGGCCCUGAUCGGGCCGGGAGACAGUGUCAGGUGGGCAGUUUGACUGGGGCGGUCGCCUCCUAAAAUGUAACGGAGGCGCCCAAAGGUUCCCUCAGAAUGGUUGGAAAUCAUUCGUAGAGUGUAAAGGCACAAGGGAGCUUGACUGCGAGACCUACAAGUCGAGCAGGGACGAAAGUCGGGCUUAGUGAUCCGGUGGUUCCGCAUGGAAGGGCCAUCGCUCAACGGAUAAAAGCUACCCCGGGGAUAACAGGCUUAUCUCCCCAAGAGUCCACAUCGACGGGGAGGUUUGGCACCUCGAUGUCGGCUCAUCGCAUCCUGGGGCUGUAGUCGGUCCCAAGGGUUGGGCUGUUCGCCCAUUAAAGCGGUACGCGAGCUGGGUUCAGAACGUCGUGAGACAGUUCGGUCCCUAUCCGUCGUGGGCGUAGGAAAUUUGAGAGGAGCUGUCCUUAGUACGAGAGGACCGGGAUGGACACACCGCUGGUGUACCAGUUGUCUUGCCAAAGGCAUCGCUGGGUAGCUAUGUGUGGACGGGAUAAGUGCUGAAAGCAUCUAAGCAUGAAGCCCCCCUCAAGAUGAGAUUUCCCAUAGCGCAAGCUAGUAAGAUCCCUGAAAGAUGAUCAGGUUGAUAGGUCAGAGGUGGAAGCGUGGCGACAUGUGUAGCUGACUGAUACUAAUCGAUCGAGGACUUAACCAA
This 2933-nucleotide ribosomal RNA is filed under the name Priestia megaterium. RNAcentral's name for it is "23S ribosomal RNA". It matches the Rfam family "Bacterial large subunit ribosomal RNA". The record is from RNAcentral. Lineage: Bacteria; Bacillati; Bacillota; Bacilli; Caryophanales; Bacillaceae.